Molecule: long non-coding RNA, 369 nt
Filed under: Lathyrus oleraceus (garden pea)
Lineage: Eukaryota; Viridiplantae; Streptophyta; Magnoliopsida; Fabales; Fabaceae
Description: Pisum sativum (pea) long non-coding RNA (PSAT_LNC009346)
Source: RNAcentral
UACAUUCUAAUGUCACUACCACAGCCGAUUCCACACACUUUUUGAGGUCUUUUUAGGUUGUAACGGGGCUUGGGUACGGUAGGAUAAACAAAAAAAUUGGAUAACAAAGGGUUUUGAACUCGGUAGUCAUGUUGUGUGAUUUUUCUUUCUCUUUUUUUUUUCGUGCAUCACGUAUACUCUGGGGGUUAAUUUCACUCUUUUGACUCUUUUUCUACUCACAUUUUCCGAGCAUUUUAUAUCUGUUAGAGUCUUAGGUCUCGGCAAGUGCAUUUUUCUCUUUUGUUUUUCUUUUCUUUUUUUUCUUUUUUUUUCUUUUAAAGAAAAUACAUACUAUUUUUCUUUUUGUAUGAUCUCAUAUUAUGCACUUGC